This 1025-nucleotide long non-coding RNA is filed under the name Zostera marina. Its description in RNAcentral is "long non-coding RNA (ZMAR_LNC004201)". The record is from RNAcentral. Lineage: Eukaryota; Viridiplantae; Streptophyta; Magnoliopsida; Alismatales; Zosteraceae.
AUAAACACAUUCAGGUAUGUGAAUUGUAUCUUCUUGCUGUAGAAUCAUGCUUAUGUUGACAUCCCAUCCAAAGUCUUACCUGUCAGUUAAUAAAUAAUGACCGAAAUAUCUCACCAGUGGUAGUGCGAGCGGUCGUUUUCUCGUGUCAAAUGUUUUGGAAUCACCAACACUCGUGGAGAAUCGACGAUUAGGGCGUCAAAUCGACGAUUUCUCCGUAAAUGUCGUAAAGUGUGAAACUGAUACCUUAGAUGUAGAGUGUUACAAUUGAAGGAACUACGGAGUCAAUUGCUAAAGAUGUAUCAAGGACAGUAGAACUAAUGCCAACAACUGAAGACCUAUCUACUGGUCUAGAGCAGGAAGCACUUGAGGAAGAAGGUGUCGAUGAUGAAGCAUCUGAGGAAGAGAUUAUCAAUGAGGAAGACAGGACUGAAGGGUACCCGACCCGGCUGAGGACCCGUCCCCAAUGGAUGGACGAUUAUGAAUGUUAAAUAAGGUAUGGUUAAUUAGAAUUUAUUUUAUUAAUAUGUAUGGUAAUAAAACGAUGAAUGAUUUACUUCCGUUUUUAUUUUUCGUACAUGUAAUUCCCUUAUAGGGCACUAUGUGUAACCUUUUGAAGCAUGAAAUAAAAAACUAAAAAAUUCCUCUAAUCGCCCCAAUACCUCCGACAUCUCAUUCCGGCAUCGCCGAGUACGACUUCGCCUCGCCUUCAAUCCGCUGUCAUCGGUCUGCACCGAUCAUCUCUGGUUAUAUAGAAGAUCUGUCUCUCUGUACUUGAUCCAAAAGCUCUGUCUCGCAUUCUUGAUCCAUUUACUCCGAUUAUUGAAUCGGAGACCCAUUCCCAACAUCAGGUUAAUUCAGAUCCGUAAUAUUUAAUUCUUUUUUUUCUCAUUUGGAAUUCCCUUGGAUAAUUGACUCAAGAUUUGAAUAAUGAUCCCAACGCCAAUCAAUUUGAGAUUGAUUUAACGAUUCAGAUUUUAUAUCUGUAUCAUAGAGGGUCUUGGGUCGGGUCAAACCCGAACACGAAC